Molecule: ribosomal RNA, 464 nt
Filed under: uncultured bacterium
Lineage: Bacteria
Description: partial 16S ribosomal RNA
Rfam family: Bacterial small subunit ribosomal RNA
Source: RNAcentral
CUACGGGAUGCUCCAGUCGAGAAGCUUCGGCAAUGGACGAAAGUCUGACCGAGCGACGCCGCGUGAGCGAUGAAGGCCCUAGUGGUCGUAAAGCUCUGUCAGGAGGGAAUAAAUACCUGUGGCUAAUACCCGCAGGGGCUGAAGGUACCUCCAGAGGAAGCACCGGCUAACUACGUGCCAGCAGCCGCGGUAAUAGAGGGUGCAAACAGUUGUUCGGAUUCACUGGGUAUAAAGGGUUCGUAGGCGGACCUAUAAGUCAGAGGUGAAAGCCAACGGCUCAACCGUUGAACUGCCUCUGGUACUGUAGGUCUUGAGUCCGUUAGGUGAUGGUGGAAUUCCUGGUGUAGCGGUGAAAUGCGUAAAUAUCAGGAGGAACACCGGUGGCGAAGGCGACCAUCUGGGACGGAACUGACGCUGAGGAACGAAAGCUAGGGUAUCAAACGGGAUUAGAUACCCUCGUAGUC